ACGAACGUUUUCGGACGUUAGUGGCGGACGGGUGAGUAACGCGUGAGAAUCUGCCUUUUGGACGGGGAUAACAGUUGGAAACGACUGCUAAGACCCGAUGUGCCUAUGGGUGAAAGUAAUUUAGCCAGAAGAUGAGCUCGCGUCAGAUUAGCUAGUUGGAGUGGUAACGGCACACCAAGGCGACGAUCUGUAGCUGGUCUGAGAGGAUGACCAGCCACACUGGGACUGAGACACGGCCCAGACUCCUACGGGAGGCAGCAGUGGGGAAUUUUCCGCAAUGGGCGAAAGCCUGACGGAGCAAGACCGCGUGGGGGAGGAAGGUCUGUGGAUUGUAAACCCCUUUUGUCAAGGAAGAACACAAUGACGGUACUUGACGAAUCAGCAUCGGCUAACUCCGUGCCAGCAGCCGCGGUAAUACGGAGGAUGCAAGCGUUAUCCGGAUUUAUUGGGCGUAAAGCGUCCGUAGGUGGUUGUUCAAGUCUGCUGUCAAAGCGCGAGGCUUAACUUCGUAAAGGCAGUGGAAACUGAGCGACUUGAGAAUGAUAGGGGCAGAGGGAAUUCCCAGUGUAGCGGUGAAAUGCGUAGAGAUUGGGAAGAACACCGGUGGCGAAAGCGCUCUGCUGGGUCAUAUCUGACACUGAGGGACGAAAGCUAGGGGAGCGAAAGGGAUUAGAUACCCCUGUAGUCCUAGCCGUAAACGAUGGAAACUAG
RNAcentral lists this ribosomal RNA (711 nucleotides) under uncultured cyanobacterium. RNAcentral's name for it is "bacterial SSU rRNA". It matches the Rfam family "Bacterial small subunit ribosomal RNA", at positions 66 to 819 of the family's 1533-position model. Lineage: Bacteria; Bacillati; Cyanobacteriota. The record is from RNAcentral.